Molecule: ribosomal RNA, 460 nt
Filed under: uncultured bacterium
Lineage: Bacteria
Description: partial 16S ribosomal RNA
Rfam family: Bacterial small subunit ribosomal RNA
Source: RNAcentral
CCUACGGGCGGCAGCAGUGAGGAAUAUUGGUCAAUGGGCGCGAGCCUGAACCAGCCAAGUCGCGUGAAGGAUGACUGCCCUACGGGUUGUAACCUUCUUUUAUAAAGGAAUACAGUGAGCCACGUGUGCCUUUUUGUCUGUACUUUAUUACUUAGGAUCGGCUAACUUCGUGCCUGCAGCCGCGGUAAUACGGAGGAUCCGAGCGUUUUCCGGAUUUAUUGGGUGUAAAGGGAGCGUAGAUGGGUUGUUAAGUCAGUUGUGAAAGUUUGGGGCUCAACCGUAAAAUUGCAAUUGAUACUGGCAGUCUUGAGUACAGGUGAGGGAGGCGGAAUUCGUGGUGUAGCGGUGAAAUGCUUAGAUAUCGCGAAGAACUCCGAUUGCGAAGGCAGCUUACUAAAGGGCCACUGACACUGAUGCACGAAAGUGUGGGUAUCGAACAGGAUUAGAUACCCUAGUAGUC